GCCCACUGAUGAGAUCAUGGCACCUUUAAUGAUCCAGUCAGACCAAGAGGUUGUUGUCUCUAGCUUGCUGUUAGAUGGGUAGUCUUGGAAGUGUAAUGGAGUUUUACUACACUGCUGUAAGGGCCCAUCAAAAGUAAACCUGUCACCUUCUUUUACCCCUGACCCCCCAAGAGUAAUGGGAUGGGACAGGCAGGAGAUGUCAAACAGUGUGUGUGUGUCAGUUUGCAAGAGGCUAUAGUCUCAAAAAAGUUGGUUUGGUGGGUAUGAACUACUCUUUUGGUAAUCUGAGGGCA
Small nucleolar RNA from Acanthopagrus latus (yellowfin seabream), 293 nucleotides. NCBI's taxonomy places the organism in Eukaryota, Metazoa, Chordata, Actinopteri, Spariformes, Sparidae. The record is from RefSeq and is a predicted model, not a curated record.